This 20539-nucleotide long non-coding RNA is filed under the name Capsicum annuum. RNAcentral describes it as "long non-coding RNA (CANN_LNC001631)". Lineage: Eukaryota; Viridiplantae; Streptophyta; Magnoliopsida; Solanales; Solanaceae. The record is from RNAcentral.
CUUAGUUCAACUAAACAAUUUUAAAGGGAGUUCUUAACAUUUAAAACAUAUGACACCAGUCUGUGAAAUAUCUAACAAUACAAGAACCAACAUACGCAAUGAAAUUGGGACAAGGCCCCCAGUCAGACCAUGAAUCAAAAUAAAAUAACAAUAACUCAUAACUAGGCCUUCUGAAAUAAGGAAGGCUCACCAACUGCAACUUCUGACCAAACAACUCUAUGCUUAAUGGGACCCCAGAACUGUGCCUCAGAUUUUGAAAUAUAUGGGGUCAAUACAGAUGUACUAGUAUGCAGAGCAAUCCAAAAAAAUGUACCUUGAUAUAUAAAACAUAAGUGAGAGCAUUUCAUAAGAAAAACUUUAUGCAUGAAAUAAUUUAAAACACAUGGGCAGUUUUAUAUGUCUUAAAACAAAUCUGUAGAUGUAAUUCCUCUUAUUUUUUUUACUUCUGAGCUAACUGGUAUAACCUACAUAUCUGAAAGUAUCCCACAGGCUAUAUGGGAUCCGCCCUAAACUCAGCGGUUAAGCCCCCAAUCUAAGUAUGCCUCAAGGGUUGGAGUAUCUAAAUCUAAUACGCCAUAGGGUACUAGGCCAGCGUAUAAUCCCUCACUGGGAACAUAAUAAGCUCGUAUUGGAAAAACACGAUUUCAGAAAAUAAAUCAUAUGACCCAUUCCUACUUUGAAUAACCACCUAACAGAUAGCAUUCAGUCUAGCCCACUUGUAUUAAAAUUGAUGGGCUUCAAUGUGAAUCAAGAAGAACUUAUAAUGGAAGAAAAAACCUAAGAAUGAGCUCGAGAAUCAUGGUGAAGCAUGGGCUAAGUACUAUACAUAUUUCAAGAGUCAAGUCCAAGUCUAAACUGAAGAAGAUUAGGCCAUAUGAGUUUUGAUUAAAUUUGUGAAUUUUUCCUUAUUUCGUUAGGGAUUUAUUUUGGAUAUUAUUUUCCUAGUUUAAAGUUUCCUAGAUUUAUUUAUUUUCAUAAAAGUAGAAUUCGAAUUCCAUGCUAUUUGGGAUAGUAUAUAUAUAUAUAUAUAGGGAUGGAUUUUGUUUUCUUGAAGGGGACAAUAUUAUUAUUAAUUGAGAGUUUCUCUUAUUUACACCUCUGUGUGUGGCUACUUGGGAUUUAUCUUGCAACCCUAUAAGCACGAAUCUUUAGGAGGUAAGAUUAAUUCUUAAUUUGAUAUUUUUGGUUUCUAUUAAAGAAGGUGAUUAUUCUUAGACUAAUUAUUGUCUUUAGUUUCUUUGAAAUAAGGGUCUAGAUUACUUUUGAUCUAAGUUCUUGAAUUGACUCUAUUAGUAUCAUAAUUAGACUUAAUCUGCUAAUUUUGAAUACUAAGAUCAAUUAGGGUUCUUACCACUUAACCUCAAAAUUGGGGAUUUUAUUCUCCAAUUUUGCCUAUCUUUAAUUUCUUACCUUUAAUCUUAGUAUUUUCGCAUUAUUUUCUUGUUUAUUAACAUAACCCGAUUUUUAUCAAGUGGUAUCAGAGCAGUUCCAUCAAGGUUUCAUUCUUGAUAAUCUUGGGAGUUUCAACAAAAAAACACUCAAAAAAAAUAUUUUUCUCAUUGUUAAGCUACAUAGCCAAAAAAAGGAGAAAAAAAUAAAAUAAAAAAGAGAGAAAAUUUAUCUGUUUGAGAAUUAAGGUAUUAUAAAAAAAUUCAUUUUUUUUGUUUCUUGAUUUCAACACCAACAAGGAAUAUCAAGAAGAGGGAAAAUUUGAAAAUUUUUCUAUUUACACAAAUUGAUCUUUUUUCCUUAUCUCAUCAAACCUAAUUUAUUUGGGUACUGAUAAAUUCUUUUCUUUCUGCAUCUUACUUCUAAAAAGUUAUUUCUAAUAGGGGUGUAUAUAUAAAUCCUAAAGGAUCCAGUCAAAGAUAGUAAUUUGAGUGAGAAAAGGGUAAGAAAGAGUGAGAUAAAAAAAGGGUCAAAUUGAGAGUUUUGUUUUCUUUUAACUUUUGGAGAUGUCUGAAAAAGAUACUAAUACUGGGACUCAAAACAAUGACAUAGUUGAGGCACUUAGAAGUAUUUUUGCUCGAAUCUAUGCAUUAGAGGUCACCCAAAAUCCACCUAAUCAGGUGAAUAUAACUGAUUUAAGGAGAAGUGUUUUUCAUACAAGGUGUGGGAUAUAGGAUAAUAUUUGCUCUAUGAUUAUUGACUUUGAAAGUGAUGCUAAUGUGAUAAGUUCAUACAUUGUGGAUAAGUUGAAACUUACAUGCAUCAAACACAAUGAUUUAGGUGUACUUAAGGUGACUAAGCAAUGGAUGAUUUCUUUCUCCAUUGGAAGGUACUAUGAUUUCUUACAUGAUAUGCAAGAUUGUCAUAUCAAGCUUGGGCGUCCCUGGCAGUUUGAUAGGAAUGCAAUUUAUGAUAGGGGGAACAAUAAAGUUUCUCUUGGUCUAAACAAAAGAAAAUAUAAACUUGUACCUUUAACUCUAUCCCAAGUUUAUGAAGAUUAGAAACAUGUGAAAAAAGCAAUGAAAAAUUUUGAGAGAGAAAGGAAUGAGAGGAGUAAGGGAGUGCAUGAUGAUAUUCCAAGAGAGAAAAGAAGAAAGGUUGUGUUAUGUGAAGAGAAUGGGAUGUCAAAUAAGGUCAAGAAAAAAGAAAAGAGAGAUGAUCAUGAGAGUAUUAAAGAGAGGGAUAACCUUUGAGAAUUCCUAUGCAUAUGUGGAUAAAUUUUAUGUGGAAAAAUCUUUGAGAAGUGUAAUUGAUGAUGCUUGGCUAUAUCAUAAAAGUGUUAAAUUUGAUAAAUAUUUUAUGGAGCUUAUGACGUCUUUAAUAAACCCAGUGGAGUACUUUAUUGAUAAAGCUAAAUUGGGGAGGGACAUAUCAUUCCCUACGUCAUCUAAACGUGAAUAUUUUUGUGGUCAUACAAGGAAGAGAAUUUUCUAUUAGGAUGAUGAUAUCCACAUGCUUUAUAAAGGUGUAUUUAUACAUGAAAGGAUUAAUUGGGUUAAGUGGACACAUGGUCACUAUCUUGUUUUGUUCCUACCAUUGUUGCUUUCAAGUAAAGAAUGUUGUUUACUAUUGUAUGUCUUCUUGAUUUUGCAAGAUUCCAAUUCGAGGAUGAAUUGUUUUCAAGAAGAGGGGACUGAUAGCAUCCAAUCUAUCCCACUUUCAUUAAAAUUGAAAGGCUUCAAUGUGAAUGAAGAAGAACUUAUGAUGGAAUAAAAAACCUAGACCGAGCCCGAGAAUUAUGGAGAAGCAUGGGCCAUGUACUAUACAUAUUUCACGAUUCAAGUCCAAGUCCAAAUGGAAAAAGAUUGGGCCAUAUGAGUUUUGAUUAAAUUUGUGAACUUUUCCUUAUUUUCUUAGGGAUUUAUUUUUGGUAUUAUUUUCCUAGUUUUAAAGUUUCCUAGUUUAAAGUUCCUUAGAUUUAUUUAUUUCCAAUAUAUAUAUUAUUAUUAAUAGAGAGUUUCUCUUAUUUACACCUUUAUGUGUGGCUACUUAGAAUUUAUCUUGCAACCCUAUAAGAACGAUUCUUUAGGAGGUAAUAUUAAUUCUUAAUUUGAUAUCUUUGGUUUCUAUUAAAGUUAAUUAAAGAAGGUGAUUAGUCUUAUACUAAUUGUUGUCUUUAGUUUCUUUGAAAUAGGGGUCUAGACCACUUUUGAUCUAAGUUCUUGAAUUGACUCUAUUAAUAUCAUAAUUAGUCUUAAUACGCUAAUUUUGAAUACUAAGAUCAAUUAAGGUUCUUAGCACUUAACCUUGAAAUUGGGGAUUUUUAUUCUCUAAUUUUGCCUAUCUUUAAUUUCUUGAAUUUAAUCUUAUUAUUUUCACUUCCGCAUUAUUUUCUUGUUUAUUAACAUAACCCGAUUCUUAUCACUAAAUCUCUUAAAGCCCAUUUUUAACCUAUUCUAAACAUGCACAUUUUUGAAUUCAAAAUCUGAAAAUCUAAAUGAAAUCUUACUUAUGUUCAGUUCUGAGUGUUAUAGCAUUAUCUAUUUUGGUAUCAUCACACCAAGACUUUAAAGUCAUGUCUCUAUGCCGUAAUUAUCAUAAACAAUUAUUUCAUUCAAAAAUAAUGUUCAGACUACCAAAACAUUCAAUCGGUACAGAAAGAUUCAUCUUUUAAAUCAUAUGUUAAACCAUGCAGGGAUUCCUUCUUUUCAACUCUUAAUCAUGUGGUGGUCACUUACUUUAUAGAAAUCUUCAUCAUUUAUCAACAAGUAAAACACGCUCUCUUUAAUUCACCAUCAAUCUCAAAUAAGUUAGCAAUAGGCUAGAGAACAUUUAUAUUGUGCUUCAAAAAGUGAAAUUUAUCAAUUCUUAACAUGUAAAAAUCAAAGGAUUAUAACUAGACAGGGAGUAAAAAUAUUCAUGCUCUCAAUACAUCCUUAAAAAAAAUCCAAACCAAUACAUAUAUAUAUAUAUGUGAACAGACAUCAAGUUUAUGGGGAAGGCCUCAAGAUCAAAAUAUUAUUAUCAAAAGAGUUCAAAAAGCAUAAUUGUUAAUGUAAAUUCAAAACCCUUUAUAAAUUCAUGAUCUUUCAACCUUAAAAACUUAAUCAAAACAAUUUCACCAUGCCUAUGUAGUGUAGGAAAACCCCACAUACCUUAGAUGAUCUAAUUCAAAUAAUAGAACUUAAAUCUUGACUCAUUUCUUGGAAUUCUUGAGUUAAGAUCUUGAUUCUUGAUCUUUGGAGGCUUAGCAAUUUCUUGAAUAGGAAGAGAGAAUAAUGAUGUAACAAAUUCUCUUUAGGGGCUUAAAUCUUGUGUUUUGGAUGAUUUUGGGGUGAGAAAAAUGACCUAAUUGCCCCCAAAUAUGCGAAUUCAGAAGCUGGAAAAUAAGGGGUGAAAUGGAGCAUGUGUCGUAUGAUCUGGAGUGCUGAUAUUGAGCGUGUGUCGCAUGCUUAUCGUACACGACUACUGUUCUAACAAAAAUAAUCAUAACUUUUUGCUCAGGUAUUGGAUUGAGGUGAAAUUGGUAUCGUUAGAAAGCGGACUCAAUUAUCUACAAUUUGGUGGGUAUUUAGCCGCAAAAUUAUACAUGUAUCAAAAGUUAUAAAUAUUUAAGGUAGACCCUUGUAACAUCAAAAACAAAGACUUAGCUGAAUCAAAGGUUCUUAGCUCAACUUCUCUCUAAGUGAUUCCUAUGAAGAUUUUUCACUUCGAAACCACUUCAAACACGAGGAUAUAGAUCAUGAAACUUAUUCUCACUUGGAGUUAAUUCUAUUAGAGCUUACACACUUCGAAAUAACUGUUCGAUUUCUAGUUCAAAAAUGUCGGGUGUUACAUUAUCUCCCUAUUAGGAUCAUUCAUGCCCGAAUGAUGAGUAGGGACUUUUUAAAGCUCUAAAUGUGUAGAAUACAGAACAUAAUUUUGCAUUGAACGUUUUUCCUCAAUGAAAUAUGCAAAGGCAUCAACAAGCUUCAUAAUAACCCCAGGGGAAACGUAUAAAUACAAAAAAAUGAGAUAAUGAAACUUGACAUCGACAUGAUCUUAGAAUGUGUUUUAUGACACAUUAUCAAAAUAUUGUAAGGCAUAAAUUUUCAUAAGAAUCCUUGGCCUCAAUUGAUAUGCUCUCCACUAUGUGUUCAGCCAUGAUUAGGACAUUUCAACAUCUAAAUCUUAUAAUUCCCCCUCUAAAUACAUAACUACAAGAGUUUGAAUCUAACUGCAUCACACUCUCAUAUUGAAGCCUAACCCAAAACAAAAAAAUGGCAGCUUAAGCUAUGGGACUCCACACUCUAUCUUCCUUUAAAAUAUUACUUCACCUUAUCACUACUAUCAGACACCCUUAGGUAUUAAAUCAAGGAAUACCAACCACAUAACACAUUGGUUUAUGUUUUCAUCAAUCACCACCUUCAAGCCUAUCAUUACAAUACCACACUUCAUGGAUCUCUCUACUAAGACCAGCAAAUUCAAUCAGUCUCACUAGGAUUCUUGCCAUAUAUCACCUUCUGAACUAUUCCACGUAACAAAAGUUCAUCUCCUUCUUCCCUUUUCUCUUAUAGCCUUAGCUAAAGAAUUCACAUAAAAAAAAUUCACCUUCAAGAGCAUCUACUUCCCUACCUAACACAGUACUAUGCUUCCACAACCAUCAUCAUACUAACAUAUGAAGGUUCAUUAAAAGACCCGAGUAUAAGCAUCAUAAAUGGGAGAAACACUACUCAAUUACAACCCAUAUCUGUUGAUCUACUCAAGGUGGCACAUGAGGUGAAUUUACAAUACAAUAGACACGAAAUGCGUUAUAAAUCAAGUUUUUGGAUCAUAAGUAGAGAGUCGCUCGGGCAUAACUCAACAUAGCAUGAUUUAUUAGGACAGACCACAAUGAGGAACAUGGGCGCUUAUAUCAUGAGUCUUAUAACAUAAGGUCAGAAUUCAUAAAUUCAAUGAUUGAGACAAUGAUGUAUACUUAAAGCUAUUGCUUCUAAAUUUAUUUUUCAAAGCUGACGUAUUCAUGAGUUUGAACUUUAUUAUUUUGGCUAAUCCCAACAUAAACGAAUUAGUAACUUAUAAAAACAUAGUUCCUUAAAACCAAGCAUGGGUUUGGGACACAAACUUAUAGUUCAUAAGCAACAUAAUAUAGGACUGGGAUACUUGGAAUCUUUGAUCACUAAGGAACAUUAUUGCUUCUAGUUUGGAGGUCGGGACAUGACAUAAGUUACAUAUGAGUGCUCAAACCUUAGACAUAGGUAGGACUUGGUACAUUGACCUCUUAAAUUGUAAUACCCCGCACUUUUUCCUAGCUUAGUUUAGCUCCUAGAAUGUCAAGAGUUAUCUUUGAAAAUAAAUAACUCUUGAUAUAUGUAGAAUUUUCUAGUUCUAGACCCACUAAUGUGUACAUAAUUGGCUCAAUUUUCCAAUAAUACCAAUUUUGCCUUAAUUCGAUACUCGGUUGAGAAGUUAUUGUGUUUUUAGUAAAAUAGUAUGACAUUUUGACAGUUAUUGCAUCGCGGUGAAGGACGAUUUUGCAAUUGUCAAAUUCCAGUGGAGCACCACGAUUACGUCGCAUCAAAGUGAAAGUUCAGUUCUCACUUGUCCUUUUUCCAGUGAGGCAAUUCAAUAGUGGCGCAUCGCAGCAAUGGCCAAAAUGGGACUCAUCCCUUGUCUAGUAGCCCAAUGCGAUAGUCACGUUGAUGGGAAAAAUCAGGCUCAUUCCUUUUUCAGUGAACCACUAUGAUAGUAGCGCAUAAAUAAUUCCCAAGCACCAAUUCAUAAAUAACACAGAAUUAAACCUACUCUAAGCAUUCUAUGCUCACUUUUCAUCAAUUCUCUCUUAAGAAAACCCUAGAACCUCAAAACAUAACCUCCAAGAGAUCAAAUUUCCUCCAUUCUUUUUCCAAGAUAGCUCAAAAUUAAAGAUUCCCACUUUAAGAGAUUCAAGAAUUCAUCAUAAAGAAAAUAAAUAGGGAAUCAAGUUCAAGCUUUCUUAGUAAUUGCAUCAAUUAAGGUAUGUGGAAUUUAUAAACAAGGAUCCUCUUUCAUCCUUAUGCCCAAAACUAGUUUUCAUUACAAAUUUACAUGAUUUUGUAUGAUUAUUUGUGAAUUUUAAAUUAGGGUGCAUACCCAAUAUUGCUAAUUGAAGGAUUGUGAGCUUUGAAGUAAAUAAGAUGAUGAAUUUUCAUGUUUACUUUCAUAUUUUCAUGCGCAUUGCAGUAAUUUCUAGAUUUUGAGUUGAAUUGUCAAUACCUUCAUUAUCAAGAAUGAAUAUUAUUAUAUUUUGACAUGAAUUUGAGGCAUGGGUAUUAAGUCCUAGUUGAAUAUUGUUAUUUCAAGAAUUGAUUAUGCUAUGAGCACUUAUGACUAGAGUAUUUUCAGAUUUUCGAUAAAUAUUUGAUCUUUUGAUCUCAAUUUAGAUAUGAAAUACACAUUACAUUUUCAGACUACAGUUUAACUUAACAAAUAUACAAUUGGUUUUCAUAAUAAACCAUUAUACUAGAUUUUAAAGUGGAUUUCCAACAGAUCAUACAAAUUAAAAAGGAGUAGUAUUUAGCAAUGAGCUGGGUAUGUACAUGCCCCAGAACUAUGAGCUAUUAUAGGUUCAGAUGAUCAGAUUAUUCCCAUUUCUAUAUAGAUAACAAAUAUAGAUAUGAUCACUUAGAUUAGGAUAUACUCCUUACCAAGAGUAUAAUACCUCUCCCCAAUGUGAGGUUUUCUCUUUUAGGGAACUAGACGUUGGACACUAUGAUAGCUCACAUAGUGUAUGUCCGUUAGAAGAACCUUCCUAAUAGAAAAGCUUUACAGAAAAGUUUUUAAAAGAAUUCCCUGCAACUUAACAGUAAAUUCUUUCAUAAUAGUUCUAAAAGUAUUUUUAUACUAGUAAAACCUUACAGAACGGAAUAAUUUUAAUAGAAUAGCAUUUAGAAACUAAGUGUAAAUGCUCACAGUUUUAUUCAGAUAUUACUUUACAUAUGGAUUUAGCCAUGAGAUUUUAGAUUUCAGUUUACAAAUCCAGAAGUGAGUCCUUUCUAUACUUAGAUAGUAUGAUUUAAAGAUAGAAUACUAGUACGACUUUUAGAAACUAAAUGUUAUGACUCACUAGAUUUAUAGAACAUAUUUUGAUAUUAUUGAUUAUGAUUUUUAUUUUUCAAAUAUUCCAGCUUAUGCUAGUUAUUUACAUUUAGCAUGCAUUAUUUUAUAAAUUCUGACGAUGUUGAGAUAUUAUUUUACUUAUGAAUUCACCCCCAUCUACUCAGUAAAUUCUCAAAGUACUGAUCCACAUAUACGUCUAUGUGCUACAUUGUCUCAUAAUGUAGGUUUAGGUUCUCAGUUUCAAUAGCGUGAGUGGUGUCGAGCAUCUCUAUCUACAUCCCAACAGUUGGUAAAUCCUCAUAGAUUGAGGACUUAGUCUUUCAAUUUUUCAGCUUAUUAGUAUAGAAAAUUUAGUAUUUUCAGAGAGUUUGAGUCAGCUGGGGGUUUGUCCUAGAGACUCUCUAGCAUUAGUAGUAGAAGCUUGUCAGACUGCUAGAUUAUGAUUCAGAUUUUUAGUAUUGAUUGAUCAGACUCUUGAGUCUAGUAUUUUUUAGAGAACAUAUUUACAUAUUCCUAGUUAGUUCAGAUAGAUUUCUGCAUUCUAAUUUUGAUGUUACAUCUAUAUUUUCUUAUUAUGAGAUUUAGACUCAGCAGAAGGCGAACAGGGUUAGCUUAAGGCUACUCAUAGUCUUAAGCAUCGUGUGAUAUUUUGGGACUUAUUUUUGGGGCAUUACGAACUUAAUAGAAGAGCCUAAGGUUAUAAUUAUCCUAGGGAGUCAGACAAGACAUUUUACGUAGAGUCUUGAUCAUGGAUGUGGAGCACGCUAUAUUUAUGAGAAAGAGGCUAGGGAUGUUUUUAGGAAAUUAUCUCUUUCUUUCAUGAUCUAUCGUGCUUGUAGUAUCUCUAUCUGAUUUUAACUCAUGCUCUUACGUGACAGUUGAAUAUGCUUCCUCGAUGAGCUAAUGCCCAUAGAAAUGAUAACCAACCACCUCAACUUGCUAACCCUCUGAAUAAGAAUGUAUCCCAUACUGAAUUUUGGGCUGCCUUUCAGGCGUUGGCCCGAGCUGUGACUGCUAAUGUUCAGGGAAACCAUCAGGCGAUAGUCCCACUUCAGCAGAAUAGGGAUUUAGCAGUAGCCAGAAUCUAAGACUUCAUAAGAAUGAAUCCGCCAGAGUUCUUUAGGUCAAAAGAAGGUGAGGACUCACAACUUCAUUUAGUUGAGGUGAAGAAGAUCACCUAGAUUAUGCAUGUUUCUAAGACAGAAAGUAUACCGCUAUCAUCCUAUAGAUUGAAGGAUGUAAUGCAUGAUUGGGUGGUUAUAUGGAAGAAUGAUAGAGGUGAUAAUGCAGCUCCUAUGAGCUGCCAGGUGUUUUAAGAUGCUUUUCUAAAUAGGUUCUUUCCGCAUGAAAUAAGAGAAGCUAAGGUAUAAGAGUUUGUGAACUUGAGGUAGGGCUCAAUGAAAGUGAAAGAGUACUGCCUCAAGCUCAACCAGUGGUCUAAGGAUGCCCCUUAUACGAUGGCUGACCGUAGGGUAAGUAUGAGUAAGUUCGUUAUCGGAAUAUCUAGUUUGGUAGUCAAGGGGUAUAGGAUUGCCAUGCUUAUUAAGGACAUGGAUCUUUAUAGUUUGAUAAUUUAUACUAGUAGAUUAAGGCAAAAAAGUUGAAGAAAAGAGAGAGAGGAAAUAAAAAGGCUAGAACCAGAUAUUUUAAGUAUGGCUAGACAAAGUAUGGAGAGGGAAAUCGUUCGCAGUUUCAAAAUCGUUCAUCUAUGCCAACACCAUCCUUAGCUAGUUCUCUUACUCCCAGAGCUAGAUAGGAGCAGUGGGGUAAGACUUCUAGUCCAGAUCUCAAAAUAGUGUGAGUGGAAAGCCCAAUUAUCAUCAAUAUGCUAAGUGUAGUAAGAAUUAUCCUGGUGAGUGCUUGUUGGGUCAAAAAGGUUGUUAUGGUUGUGGUAAGUUGGGCUAUGGAAUCAAAGAGUAUCCGCAUACUAAGAAGAGAAACAGGGAUGUUCAUCCCCAGACUCAGGCUACUAGUGCACCAGCUCUUCUAGGUCACCCAAUUUUUCAAUAGAGCACAUCAUCCAGUACUAGUGGUAGUCAGUGCUAGAAUCAGUUUUAUGCUUUACCAUCCCAUCAAGAGCAGGAGAUUCACCAGAUGGUGUCACUGAUAUGCUUUGUUUCUUUCAUCUUGAUGUUUAUGUGUUGUUAGACCCUGGGUCAAGUGUCUUUUAUAUGACCCCAUUAGUUGCAGUUAAUUCUAAAAUAGGUCCUAAAAAGAUCCAUGAGCCCUUCUUAGUUUGUACCUCAAUGGGUGAGUCAGUUGUUGCUAAACAAAUCUAUAAAAAGUCUCCUAUCACUGUCCUUCAUAAAAUUAUAUUAGCAAAUUUAAUAGUUAGAUAUGGUCGACUUUGACCUUAUUCUUGGUAUGGAUUAGCUCUAUUCCUAUUAUGCAUCAAUAGAUUGUCGCACCAGUGUAGUGAAGUUUUAGUUUCCAGAUGAGCCAGUUUUUGAGUAGGAAGGUAAUUAGUGUCUCCCUAGAGUCAUUUCGUAUCCCAUCUUAAAGUCAAAAAGUUGAUCUCAAAAGAGUGUAUCUAUCAUCUAGUUCGAGUCAAAGACACUAAGUCUGAUACUCCAACAGUUCAGUUAGUCAGUGUAAUCAAUGAAUUUCUAGAUAUUUUUCCCAAAGAUUUUCCAGGGGUACCUUUCAAUAGAAAAAUAGAAUUCGGUAUUGACCUUUUUCUAAAUACUCAGUCCAUCUCUAUUCCUUCAUAUCUUAUGGACCUAGCUGAGCUUAAAGAUUAAAAGAGCAGCUUAAAGACCUCUAAGAAAAAGAUUUCAUAAGGCCCAAUGUCUCUCCAUGGGGCGCUCCAAUCCUAUUCGUAUAGAAGAAAGAUGGUUCUCUACAAAUGUGCAUUGACUAUCAUUAGUUUAAUAAAGUCACAGUCAAAAAUAAAUAUCCUUUUCCUAGGAUUGAUGACUUAUUCGGCUAGCUCUAAGGUGCAAGUUAUUUCUCCAAGAUAAACCUUAGAUUCGGCUAUCAUCAUCUUAGAGUAAGGGAAUGUGAUAUUCCAAAGAUAGCUUUCAGAACCUGUUAUGGUUAUUUCAAGUUUCUAGUUAUGUCAUUUGGUCUUACCAAUGCCCCAACAACUUACAUGGACUUGAUGAAAAGAGUGUUCAAAUAGUAUUUGGACAUGUUUGUCAAAGUCUUUAUGGAUGAUAUUCUUGUCUAUUAUCGUAGUGAGGAAGAUCAUGCAGACCACCUUAGAAUUGUGUUGCAAACUCUUAGAGAUCACCAGUUAUUUGCAAAAUGUAGAAAAUUUAAAUUUUGGCUAAGAUCAGUAGCUUUUCUCAUUCAUAUUAUUUCAAGUGAUGGUAUUAAAGUUGAUCCCCAAAAGAUAAAGAUAGUAAGAAACUGGCCUAGACCUCUUUCUCCAUCAGACAUUAGGAGUUUCUUGGGUUUAGCUAGUUUUUACAGAUAUUUUGUUAAGGGUUUUUCAUCUAUUGCAUCCCCUAUGUCUAGAUUAACCCAAAAGAAAGUUAAGUUCCAGUGGUCAUUUCCUGUGAGAAGAGUUUUCAGGAGUUGAAGACUCAGCUCACUUCAGCCCUGAGUUUAGCACUACCUGAUGGUACAUAUGGGUUCGUUGUAUAUUGUGAUGCCUCUAGAAAUGGUCUGGGUUAUGUUUUGUUGCAGAGAGGUAAGGUUAUAGCCUAUGCCUCUAGAAAACAUAAGCCUCAUGAAGAGAUUUACCCUACCCAUGAUCUUAAGUUAGCUAUUGUUGUGUUUGCAUUGAAAUCUAGAGGCACUAUAUCUUUAUGGGGUGCAUGUUGAUGUGUUUAUAGAACACAUAAUUUUACAGUAUGUGUUUACUCAGAGGGAGUUAAAUUUUUGUCAGAGAAGGUGGUUAGAAUUAUUGAAGGAAUAUGAUAUAAGCGUGCUAUAUCAUCUGGGCAAGGCUAAUAUAAUGGCAGAUGACCUUAGUAGAUUGUCUAUGGGCAGUGUUACUCAUGUGGAGAAUGAUAAGAGAGAGCUAGUUUGAGAAGUUCACAGGUUAGCAAGAUUGGGUGUGAGAUUGGUUGAUUUAGUUGAAAGGGAAUGUUUUGGUUUAGAGUAGUUCCCAAUCUUCUCAAGUUUCUGAAAUAAAAGAGAAGCAGGAUAAGGAUUCUAGUUUGGUCAAACUAAAGGUUUCGGUUAAAGACGAAAAGGUAGAGGUUUUCUCCCAAGGGGGAGAUAGUGUGUUAAGAUACCAGAGUAGUGUGUGUGCCAUGUGUUGUUGAUUUAAGGAAGUGGUUUAUGGAAUAAGCACAUGGUAUGUGUUAUUCCAUUCAUCAAGGAGCCACGAAGAUGUACCACGACUUGCAGGAAGUCUAUUGGUGGAGUGAUAUAAAGAAAUAUAUAGUAGAAUUUAUAGCCAAGUGUGGAACUUGUCAACAAGUUAAGGUAGAGCACCAAAGACCUGGUGGCAUAUUGCAGGAAUUUAGUAAUCCCACUUGAAAGUGGGAAGAGGUGAAUAUGGACUUGCUGACUAGAUUACCCUAUUUGCAUCAUCAUCAUGAUUCGAUUUGGAUGAUUGUAGAUAGAUUGACCAAGUCAGCCCAUUUCUUACCAGUCCACACGUCUUACACAGCUGAAGAUUAUGCUGAGUUGUAUAUCAGAAAUUUAGUUAGAUUGUAUGAAGUUCCUUUGUCCGUCAUCUCAGAUAGGGCUACUCAGUUUGCCUCUCAAUUUUGGAAAGCCUUUUAGAAGGGUCUUCGUACCCAAGUUCAUUUCAUUCAGCUUUUUAUCUGCAGACAGAUGGUUAGACAAAGAGGACCACUUAGACUUUAUAAGAUAUAUUGAGGGCAUGUGUUCUUUACUUCAAAGGUAGUUGGGACGACCACUUGCCAUUGAUUGAGUUUUCCUAUAAUAACAGUUACCAUUCUAGUAUUCAGAUGGCCCCAUUUGAAUCUCUUUAUGGGUGGAGAUGUAGAUCACCAGUCGGUUGGUUCAAAGUGGGUCAGGCUACUUUGAUUGGGCUAGAUAUGGUGUUUGAGUCCAUGGAGUAAGUUCAGUUGAUUCGAGAGAGAUUGAGAGCAGCUCAGAGUCAUCAGAAAUCCCAUGCAGAGUAAGGAGUGAUCUUGAGUUUGAAUUAGAUAAUCUUGUGUAUUUGAAGGCUUCACCUAUAAAAGGGGUGAAGAGAUUUGGCAAAAAGAGGAAACUUAUUCCUCAAUUUAUAGGCCCCUACAGGAUUUUGAGUCGUGUUAGGAAGGUAGUAUAUGAGCUUGAGCUACCCGCAGACUUGUUGUCAGUUUAUCCAGUGUUCCAUGUGUCCUUAUUGAAGAAAGUACAGAUAUUCAGAAUAGCCUUUAUACGAAGAAGUUCCAGUAGAGAUUCUUGAUUAUCAAAUCUGUAGACUAAGUAACAAAGAAGUUACCUUGGUCAAAGUUCUGUGGAUAAAUUAGUCCAUUGAAGUUGCUACUUGGGAAGUAGAAGAAUACAUGUGUACCAAGUAUCCUCACCUUUUCUCCACGAACUCAGAUUUAUCCGAAGGUAAAAGUCUUCCUUAAUUUAGUUAUUUUCCAGUCUCAGAUUCAGCUACAUAGUUAUCUUCAUAUCAAACCAUGUAUUCACAGAUUAGUUCAGUCACUCAGUACGUUUUAGAUCCAGUUAUACAGCUCAUUCCAGUUGUUGGUGCCAGUAUAUAGCCUCAGUACCUCAGUAUCUUUAGUUUAACUAGCCACAUUCGAGGCCGAAUGUUCCCAAGAAGGACAUAUUCUAGUACCCCGUAAUUUUUCCUAGCUCAGUUUGGCUCCUAGAAUGUCAAGGGUUAGCUUUGAAAAUGAAUAAAUCUUGAUACAUGUAGAAUUUUCCACUUCUACACCCAUCAAUGUGUAGAUAAUUGGCUCAACUUUCCAACGAUACCAAUUUUACCUUAUUCCGAUACUCGAUUGAGAAGUUAUGGCAUUUUUAGUAAAACAUUAUGAAAUUUUGAUAGUCACUGCGUCGCGGUGAAGGACGAUUUUGCAAUUGUCAAAUUCCAGUGGAGCACCGCAAUUACGUCACAUAAUGGUGGAAGUCUAGUUCCCACUUGUCCUUUUUCCAGUGAGGUGACGCAACAGUGGCGCGGCUCAGCGAUGACCAAAAAAGGACUCAUCCCUUCUCCAGUAGCCCAACACGAUAGUCCUAUGUUGCGUUGAUGGGCAAAAUCGGGCUCCCUAUUUUCCUGUGAACUACUGUAAUAGUGGCGCAUUGUGGUGGGUGGCCAAUUCGAGAUUUUUCCAGUUUCUGAGUUAAAUUUUAAAAGGGAAAUCUAGUCAAUUCCCAAGCCCCAAGUCAUUAAUAACAUAGAAAUAAACCUAUUCUAGGUAUUCUGUGCUUACUUUUCAUCAAUUCUCUCUCAAGAAAACCCUUGAACCUCAAAACUUAACGUUCAAGAGAUCAAAUUUUCUCCAUUCUUUUUCCAAGAUAGCUCAAAAUUAAGGAUUCCCAAUUCAAGAGAUUAAAUAAUUCAUCUUCAAUAGCACAAAUAGGGAUUCAAGUUCAAGCUUUCUUUGUAAUUGCAUCAAUUAAGGUAUGUGGGGUUUAUGAACAAGGAUCCUCUUUCAUCCUUGUGCCCAAAACUAGUUUUAAUUACAAAUUUACAUGAUUUUGUAUGAUUAUUCAUGAAUUUCAAAUUAGGGUUCAUACCCAAUAUUGCUAAUUGAAGGAUUGUGAGCUUUGGAGUGAAUUAGAUAAGGAUUUUUCAUGUUUACUUUUGUAUUUUCAUGUGCAUUGCAGUAAUUCUCAGAUUUUGAGUUGAAUUAUCAAUACCUUCAUUAUCAAGCAUGAAUAUUACUAUAUUUUGACAUGAAUUUGAGGCAUGGGUAUUAAGUCUUAAUUGAAUACUGCUAUUUCAAGAAUUGAUUAUGCUAUUAGCACACUAUGACUAGAGCAUUUUCAGAUUUUCGAUAAAGAUUUGAUCUUUUGAUCUCAUUUUAGAUAUGAAAUACACAUUACAUUUUUAGACUACAGUUUAACUUAACAAAUAUACGGUUGGUUUUCAUAAUAAACCAUUAUACUAGAUUUUAAAGUUGAUAUCCAACAGAUGGAGCAUACAAAUUAAAAAGGAGUAGUAUUUAGCACCGAGUUGGGUAUGUUCACAUGUCCCAAAAGUACGAACCAAUGUUGGUUCAGAUUAUCAAAUUAUUCCAUUUCUAUAUGAACGACAGAUACAAAUGUGAUCACUUAGAUUAGGUUAUACUCAUUGGCAAGAGUAUGGCACCUCUCCCAAAAUAAGGUUUUCUCUUUAGGGGAACUAGACGUUGGACACUAUGAUAGAUCACAUAGUGUAUGUCGGUUAGAAGAACAUCCCUAAUAAAAAAUCUUUAUAGAAUAAUUUUUUAAAGAAUUCCCUACAACAUAAUAGUAAAGACUUUUAGAAUAGUUUUAAAAGUAUUUGCCCUACUAGUAAAACCUUACAGAACAGAAUAAUUUUAACAGAACAACGUUUAGAAACUAAGUGUAAAGGCUCACAGUUUUAUUUAGAUAUUCCUUUACAUAUGGCUUUAGCCAUGAGAUUUUAGAUUUUAGUUUAUAGAUCCAGAAGUGAGUCCUUUCUACACUUAGACGGUAUGAUUUGAAGACAUAAUACCAGUAUGUCUUUUAGAAACUAAAUGUUAUGACUCACUAGGUUUAUGCAACAUGUUUUUCUAUUCUUGAUUACGAUUUAUAGUUUUCAGAUAUUCCAGCUUAUGUGAGUCAUUUACAUUUAGUAUCCAUUAUUUUAUAAAUUGUGACGACAUUGAGAUAUUAUUUUACUUAUGCAUUCACCCCUAUAUACUCAGUACAUUCUCAAAGUACUGAUCCACAUAUAAGUUUAUGUGCUACAUUGUCUCAUCAUGUAGGUUCAGGUGCUUAGUUUUAGCAGCGUGAGUGAUUUCAAGUAUCUCCAUCUAUAUCCCAAUAGUUGGUGAGUCCUCAUAGUUUAGGGACUUAGUCUUUCAAUUUUUCAGCUUAUUAGUAUAGAUUAUUUAGUAUUUUUAGACAAUUCAAGUCAGUUGGGGGUUUGUCCCAGUGACUCUCUAGCAUUAGUAUUAGAGGAUUGUUAGACUUCUAGAUUAUGAUUCAGAUUUUCAGUAUUGAUUGAUCAGACUCUUGAGUCUAGAAUUUUUCAGAGAUUAUAUUUAGAUAUUCUAAGUUAGUUCAGACAGAUUUCUACAUUAUAGAUUUAAUGUUAUAUCUAUAUUUCCUUAUUAUGAGAUUCAGACUCAGUAGAAGGAAGACAUGGUUAGCUUAAGGCUACUCGUAGUCUUGAGCACCGUGUGACGUCUUGGGACUCAUUUUUGGGGUGUUACUUAAAUUGAUGUAAGAAGAGCUUGCUUUAAUAGGAAUAGGUUUAUCAUGACUCUUACUUGAAACUGGACACCACAAGAAAAUUUAAGAACCACUUUAAUCCAUCAUCUCCCCCUUAGAUCAAAGUCACACUCCUGAACUUGAGGAUAUAAUCCCUUAUCAAAUAUAUACCCACAACUCUCAACACAUAGGGGUACCACCAUGCACAUAGACGCUAGAAUCCCCUCAAUAAUUUUAAUGUAAAGACACAAAAUCCUUUCUAGGACACCCCCUUUCAGGGACACUAAUCAUAACUUCUUAUAAUUUUCAAAGUUAUCGACUUAGGACUACCAUUAUCAUGGGCAUAGACACCCACCCUUCUAAACACUUAACACUCUAUAUAAAAUUUCAUAGAAUGCUAGAAUUACACCUCUAAUAAUACAACUUACAACUUAACAAAAUUUUUAAAACUAUACCAAAGGCGCACAUUGCCUAUAUGUAUCUCCUCAAUUCUACUAUAAAGAACACCAAACAACAACUUCCCAGACUUCUCCAUACUACAAGAUUCAAGAAAGAAAUCUAGGUACGAGUGACACUCGUACACCUGACGCUUCAUCUAAUAACACAUUACCUCAGCAUUUAACUUAUUCGUAUAUACUCGCGCUCUUAUCCACUUAAUAAUUCAACCACAAUUCAUCAUUUUACACUUGUUCUCAUGUAUACAUAUACAUCAUAAUUGACCACUCAUUAUUCUACAAGUUUCCAACCUAGGCUAUUUCAUACCUCACGUCCUACAAGUCCGUUCCCACAAAAUACGUAUCAUCAAUCUCGAGCUACUAUUCUUACCAUUACACUCUAUAUCUACAGUUCAAGCCUAUUGUUUAACAACACAAAUCAUAAGGAGUAUGCCAUAUACUAUACUAAUCAAUCGAAUAGGAAUAUCAACCUAAGUUCAUAUUUCACUUAACUAUGGCCCAUAGGUUUAUCCUCCCCACGACAUUACUACUACACCUCAAAGUCCACUAUAUACCUUCUCACAUGUAGUACUAGUUUACAACUACUAGAGAAAGACAAUCAAGGGGGUAACUUCACAUAAUAAAGAUAGUCAAUCUUAAUCUUAUAAUACAUCCCAUUACCAUCUAUUAACAUACCCUACUUUCUCACAUCAUAUUUACUUACCCAUGCAUACAAUUAGACUACAUUCAAAUUCCAUUCCCACCAAUAAGUCUCUACCCACAACUUACUGAAUAAUCUACCUCUUUUCAUUCAUAACCUAUACGUGAUUUCUACAACCACCAUAACUAUCCAUUCUGAGAUUUUUUCCUAUUUUGAAUAAGCAAUAAUCAUAGCCAAAAACUCCCUCCACAGAAGACUAUACAAUCUACAAACAUUGCUGCUACAUUAGUCUAUCAUAAUAAAAUGUCAACCCACCUCCCAGCCAAGGGUUAUACAACCCAACUAUUUAUUUACGCAAAAGUCACCCUCACCCAAACUUCUAACCUUGUAACUUCAUAUCACUAACUUUGGGAUAAUAUUACUACUAAUAGGGUAUGACACCUUAACAUAUACUACUACUCAGGUGGGAAUAUUGUUCCAAUAUUCUAACAUAUAUCACUACCCUCAAUAUGACAUUUGUAACAAAAACUUUUUGAAAGGGGACGGAUACACUUCAUAUCUCAGGCUCAAAUGCAUGAUUGAUGUAGAGAGAGGUAUAAGAUUAAAUUAAUACACUUUAAAACACUAAUGGACUCCUCUCAAGUCCCUGUGCAAUUUCAUAAUAAUUUAUGACUCAAUCAGAAAGGACUAUAUCAUUUAGAUUCUAAGCUUCCGCACUUGAAUCACCUUGACAAUAAAACACAUCUAACAACAUCAGAGUAAGAAAAGAAUUUGGGGUAAUUUUACUUUUAUAUGGACGAUGCCAUAUCAUGAAAUAGAGUAUGACUCUAUUGCACGAAUUAGAACAUUAAGAAAAGGAAACAUUCCUAGAUACUUUAUAGCCUCUUACUUAUAAGUGUAGCGUGAUACACACCCAUAAAUAGGACUCUACCAAAUGCUAUUUUACAGAUACCCUAGGACCAUAAACCAUUCUUUGAUACCAAGAUUGUCAUGACCCAAGUCGAGGCCCUAGCUGCGAUAACCAUCCCAAACCAUGAAGGCUCGAGCGCCUUUUUUGAUCUGGCAAUCAUACACACCAUUCAUAUACCAUAAAGAAAUAUGGAAACUAUAAUAAUACGGAAACAUGGUCAAUCUUUUAGUUCAACUGAAUAAUUUCAAAAAGUGUUCUUAACAUUUAAAACACAUGACACCAGUCUGUGAAAUCUCAAACAAUACAAGAACAACAUACGUAAUAAAAUUGGGACAAGGUCCCAAGUCGAACCAUGAAUCAAAAUAAAAUAAAAAUAAUUCAUAACUAGGCCUUCCAAAAUAAGAGAGGCUCACCAACUGCAACUUCUGACCAAACAACUCUACUACUUAAUGGGACCCAAGAACUGUGCCUCAGAUCCUGAAAUAUAGGGGGUCAAUAGAGAUAUACUGGUACAUAGAGCAAUCUAAAAUAAUGUACUUUGAUAUAUAUAACAUAAGUGAGAGAAUUUCAUAUAAAAAAACUUUAUGCAUAAAAUAAUUUAAAACACAUGGGCAGUUUCAUAUGGUCUUAAAAUAAUUUUGCAGAUGUAAUUCCUCUUUUUUUUUUUACUUCUGAGCUAGGUAGUACACCUUAUAUAUUUGAAAGUAUCCUAUGGGAUAUAUGGGAUUUGCCCUUAACUCGGCGGCCAAGUCCCCAACCCAAUUUUCCCAUAAGGGUUGGAGUAUCUGAAUCUGAUAUGCCACAGGGUACUAGGCCAGCGUAUAAUCCCUUAUUGGGGACAUAAUAAACCCGUAUCUACAAAACAUGGUUUCGAGCAAUGAAUCGUAUGACCCAUGUUUACUUCGGGUAACUACCUAACUCUCUUAGUGCCCAUUUUUAACCUGUUCUAAACUUGCAUAUUUCUAAAUUCAAAAUCUAAAAAUCUAAAUGAAAUCUGACUUAUGUUUAGUUCUGAGUCUGUUAUGACAUUAUCGGUUUUGGUAUCGUCUUACCAAGACUUGAAAGUCAUGUCUCUAAGCCAUAAUUAUCAUACACAAUUCUUUCAUUCAAAAACAAUGUUCAGACCACCAAAAGUUCAAUCAACACAAGAAGAUUCAUCUUUCAAAACAUAUGUAAAACCAUGCAAUGAUUCCCUCUUUUCAACUCUUAAUCAUGUGGUGGUCACUUACUUUAUAGCGAAUCGUGCAAUUCUUUCAAUAGACAUCUUCAUCAUUUAUGAAAAAGUAAAAUACCCUCUCUUUAAUUCACCAUCAAUCUCAAAUCAUUUAUCAAUAGCCAAGAGAACAUUUAUAUCGUGCUUCAAAAGUAAAAUUUAUCAAUUCGUAAAAUAUAAAAACCAAAGGAUUAUAACUAGAGAGGGAGUACAAAUAUUCAUCUCUUAAUUCAUCCUUUAAAAAGUCCAACGCAUACACAUAUAUGUAUAUAUAUGUGUGUGUGUGUGUGUGCGCGAACAAACAUCAAGUUUAUGGGGAAGGCCUUAAGACUAAAACAUUAUUAUCAAAAGAGUUCAAAAAGCAUAAUUGUUAAUGUAAAUUCAAAACCCUUUAUAAAUUCAUGAUCUUUCAACCUUAAAAACUUAAUCAAAACAAUUUCACCAUGCCCAUGUAGUGUAGGAAAAUCCCACGUACCUUAGAUGAUCUAAUUCAAAUAAUAGAACUCAAGUCUUAACUCAUUUCUUGGAAUUCUUGACUUAGGAUCUUGAUUCUUGAUCUUUGGAAGCUUAGGAAUUUCUUGAAUAGGAAGAGAGAAUAAUGAUGUAAC